UGAGGAAUAUUGGUCAAUGGGCGGGAGCCUGAACCAGCCAAGCCGCGUGAGGGAGGAAGGCCCUAUGGGUCGUAAACCUCUUUUGUCAGGGAACAAAAGCGAGUAUGUAUACUAGUCUGAGUGUACCUGAAGAAAGAGCAUCGGCUAACUCCGUGCCAGCAGCCGCGGUAAUACGGAGGAUGCGAGCGUUAUCCGGAUUUAUUGGGUUUAAAGGGUGCGUAGGCGGCGGUGCAAGUCAGCGGUAAAAGCCCGGGGCUCAACCCCGGCGAGCCGUUGAAACUGCAGUGCUAGAGAAGGCGAGAGGUACGCGGAAUGCGCAGUGUAGCGGUGAAAUGCUUAGAUAUUGCGCAGAACUCCGAUUGCGAAGGCAGCGUACUGGCGCCUGACUGACGCUGAGGCACGAAAGCGUGGGGAUCGAACAGGAUUAGAUACCC
Molecule: ribosomal RNA, 434 nt
Filed under: uncultured bacterium
Lineage: Bacteria
Description: bacterial SSU rRNA
Rfam family: Bacterial small subunit ribosomal RNA
Source: RNAcentral